CAGUAGCCGCGUAAUACGUAGGGUGCAAGCGUUAAUCGGAAUUACUGGGCGUAAAGCGUGCGCAGGCGGUUAUAUAAGACAGAUGUGAAAUCCCCGGGCUCAACCUGGGAACUGCAUUUGUGACUGUAUAGCUAGAGUACGGCAGAGGGGGAUGGAAUUCCGCGUGUAGCAGUGAAAUGCGUAGAUAUGCGGAGGAACACCGAUGGCGAAGGCAAUCCCCUGGGCCUGUACUGACGCUCAUGCACGAAAGCGUGGGGAGCAAACAGGAUUAGAUACCCCCGUAGUCCCUGUCUCUUAUACC
This 301-nucleotide ribosomal RNA is filed under the name uncultured bacterium. RNAcentral describes it as "partial 16S ribosomal RNA". It matches the Rfam family "Bacterial small subunit ribosomal RNA", at positions 509 to 808 of the family's 1533-position model. The record is from RNAcentral.